Molecule: ribosomal RNA, 345 nt
Filed under: uncultured bacterium
Lineage: Bacteria
Description: partial 16S ribosomal RNA
Rfam family: Bacterial small subunit ribosomal RNA
Source: RNAcentral
CCUACGGGAGGCAGCAGUGGGGAAUAUUGCACAAUGGGGGAAACCCUGAUGCAGCAACGCCGCGUGAGUGAUGACGGCCUGCGGGGUGGAAAGCUCUGUCUUCAGGGAAGAGAAUGACGGUACCUGAGGAGGAAGCCACGGCUAACUACGUGCCAGCAGCCGCGGUAAUACGUAGGUGGCGAGCGUUGUCCGGAUUUACUGGGCGUAAAGGGAGCGUAGGCGGACUUUGCAGUGAGCUGUGAAAUACUCGGGCUCCACUUGAGUGCUGCAUUUCAAACUGGCAGUCUAGAGUGCAGGAGAGGAGACUGGCUUUCCUCGUGUAGCGGUGACAUGCGUCGAGAUUAG